AAACUACUCCUUCCGUUCGGAAUUACUUGUCGUAGAAAUGGAUGUAUCUAGAUGUAUUUUAGUUCUAGAUACAUUCAUUUUCGAGACAAGUAAUUCCGAACGGAGAGAGUAGACG
Molecule: non-coding RNA, 115 nt
Organism: Triticum aestivum (bread wheat)
Lineage: Eukaryota; Viridiplantae; Streptophyta; Magnoliopsida; Poales; Poaceae
Source: Rfam